RNAcentral lists this ribosomal RNA (1674 nucleotides) under Salmonella enterica. Its description in RNAcentral is "partial 23S ribosomal RNA". It matches the Rfam family "Bacterial large subunit ribosomal RNA", at positions 1273 to 2925 of the family's 2925-position model. Lineage: Bacteria; Pseudomonadati; Pseudomonadota; Gammaproteobacteria; Enterobacterales; Enterobacteriaceae. RNAcentral also lists the same sequence under 1 other name. The record is from RNAcentral.
CUGGAGGUAUCAGAAGUGCGAAUGCUGACAUAAGUAACGAUAAAGCGGGUGAAAAGCCCGCUCGCCGGAAGACCAAGGGUUCCUGUCCAACGUUAAUCGGGGCAGGGUGAGUCGACCCCUAAGGCGAGGCCGAAAGGCGUAGUCGAUGGGAAACGGGUUAAUAUUCCCGUACUUGGUGUUACUGCGAAGGGGGGACGGAGAAGGCUAUGUUGGCCGGGCGACGGUUGUCCCGGUUUAAGCGUGUAGGUGUGUGUUCCAGGUAAAUCCGGUUCACUUUAACACUGAGGCGUGAUGACGAGGCACUACGGUGCUGAAGCAACAAAUGCCCUGCUUCCAGGAAAAGCCUCUAAGCAUCAGGUAACAUCAAAUCGUACCCCAAACCGACACAGGUGGUCAGGUAGAGAAUACCAAGGCGCUUGAGAGAACUCGGGUGAAGGAACUAGGCAAAAUGGUGCCGUAACUUCGGGAGAAGGCACGCUGACACGUAGGUGAAGUGAUUUACUCAUGGAGCUGAAGUCAGUCGAAGAUACCAGCUGGCUGCAACUGUUUAUUAAAAACACAGCACUGUGCAAACACGAAAGUGGACGUAUACGGUGUGACGCCUGCCCGGUGCCGGAAGGUUAAUUGAUGGGGUCAGCGCAAGCGAAGCUCCUGAUCGAAGCCCCGGUAAACGGCGGCCGUAACUAUAACGGUCCUAAGGUAGCGAAAUUCCUUGUCGGGUAAGUUCCGACCUGCACGAAUGGCGUAAUGAUGGCCAGGCUGUCUCCACCCGAGACUCAGUGAAAUUGAACUCGCUGUGAAGAUGCAGUGUACCCGCGGCAAGACGGAAAGACCCCGUGAACCUUUACUAUAGCUUGACACUGAACAUUGAGCCUUGAUGUGUAGGAUAGGUGGGAGGCUUUGAAGUGUGGACGCCAGUCUGCAUGGAGCCGGCCUUGAAAUACCACCCUUUAAUGUUUGAUGUUCUAACGUGGACCCGUGAUCCGGGUUGCGGACAGUGUCUGGUGGGUAGUUUGACUGGGGCGGUCUCCUCCUAAAGAGUAACGGAGGAGCACGAAGGUUGGCUAAUCCUGGUCGGACAUCAGGAGGUUAGUGCAAUGGCAUAAGCCAGCUUGACUGCGAGCGUGACGGCGCGAGCAGGUGCGAAAGCAGGUCAUAGUGAUCCGGUGGUUCUGAAUGGAAGGGCCAUCGCUCAACGGAUAAAAGGUACUCCGGGGAUAACAGGCUGAUACCGCCCAAGAGUUCAUAUCGACGGCGGUGUUUGGCACCUCGAUGUCGGCUCAUCACAUCCUGGGGCUGAAGUAGGUCCCAAGGGUAUGGCUGUUCGCCAUUUAAAGUGGUACGCGAGCUGGGUUUAGAACGUCGUGAGACAGUUCGGUCCCUAUCUGCCGUGGGCGCUGGAGAACUGAGGGGGGCUGCUCCUAGUACGAGAGGACCGGAGUGGACGCAUCACUGGUGUUCGGGUUGUCAUGCCAAUGGCACUGCCCGGUAGCUAAAUGCGGAAGAGAUAAGUGCUGAAAGCAUCUAAGCACGAAACUUGCCCCGAGAUGAGUUCUCCCUGAGACUUUAAGUCUCCUGAAGGAACGUUGAAGACGACGACGUUGAUAGGCCGGGUGUGUAAGCGCAGCGAUGCGUUGAGCUAACCGGUACUAAUGAACCGUGAGGCUUAACCUU